UUAAUGUGUUAUGGGCUUAGUAAAAAACAAAAGCGUGGCCAGUUUUCGCCGUCACCUUCUUCCAGAAUUUAGGGAUCAUCAACUCCUCCAAAAUCUGAUUACGGUUCUAACAAUGGAGGUACUGAGAGGUCGUGUGAGAGGAGACUUCGUGAGUACUCUAUGUGUCGAUGUCUGAUCGUGUCGUUACGUUAUCGAUUCUUCACCACAGAACCGUUACAAGUUGCUUUGAUUCAACGUCAUUAAUUAUUUCCUACCCACUACAGCCAGGAUCUCUAUUCAAUGAAUCCUAAUCUUCUUCCAUACGGUGAUUCUCCACCUAUAUAAGGGUAAGGCUUCAUCCUUUGAGUAUCAUCCUCCCAAUUUCUAAUAUCAAAAGAAUUUUUUUUUUCCGGGUAUAAUGGCUACCUCAUCUAUCCUACUCUCUAAUUUGAAGGAUGUAUGUUGUUCUUCAAUGGUAUCGGUGCAGGUCAGGUUUUGGGAAGCAAGAAACGUGGCGAUUAUACGACGGCAAGCUGGGAAGCUGUGUGUUCUUUUGUAGACGCCGUCAAUGAACAAAGUGAUGUAGGUUGCUCUUGGUCGUUCCUCUUCUGAUGAAAUCCAUCAUGCCAACUUCAAAUCUUCCAAGGUUGUGUUACUCUGCUUCUUACAUUUUUUUUGUGGUCUAAAGCUUCUUACAAUAUUUAUUUUAUAUUACUUGGUAUUUUACAUAUUUUUUUGGAAUAUUAUUUCAUCUGCGACAUGGUGAUGAUGGACUGCUUAUUAUUGAUAUGCCAAAGGAAGAGGUUGAAAGAUGGAACAACAACUAAGAUAAUAAGAAGAAGAGAGUAAAGGGAUGAUGAGGAAACACAAGUCUUUUGCAGAGCUAUAAUGAGAUUUGUCAGAUGGAGAGACCAAAAAGAAUAAAGUUCAUGUACAUGGCUAACUAUCAGACUUGAGAACUCUGUGUUCUUUACUUCUUCUAUACAAAAAUCCAUCAUUUCCUGUGGCAUGUUACAAUAUAAACCCAGUAUGAGUUUCACCACGAGUGUUGUGAAGUGCUUGAACAGGAGAACAAAAGAUUAGCGUGAAGUAGGAAUCUAUCAUGCAUCUGACCCAACUCUCCUCCUUAAUUUACCCUAGGUCUCUGUACUUCUCCAACCUAUCUUAAUUUACCCUAGGUCUCUGUACUUCUCCAACCUACAUAACCCACCCACGAUCUCACCUCUGGUAAUCACACCUUUCAUUCUAUUCGUUUCCAUUAUAUCGUGUUAGCCAUUAAUAAAUUUCAAAUUUUGAACACUGCAAAUCAUA
Brassica napus (rape) is the source of this 1290-nucleotide long non-coding RNA. RefSeq lists it as uncharacterized. Lineage: Eukaryota; Viridiplantae; Streptophyta; Magnoliopsida; Brassicales; Brassicaceae. The record is from RefSeq and is a predicted model, not a curated record. The transcript has 4 exons.